This 738-nucleotide non-coding RNA is filed under the name Pan troglodytes (chimpanzee). The record is from RNAcentral. Lineage: Eukaryota; Metazoa; Chordata; Mammalia; Primates; Hominidae.
GGAGAAUCUAAGACUUCUGAAGAGUUUCUUGCUUCUUUCCUGUGGGGCAGUGACUCCACUUCCCAGCAGUAAUGGAAUAUCCUGAAUUAGCUACAUUAAUGUUAGAACCAUUUGGACCUCACCCAGGACUUCAACUACAUUAUGAGUAACUCCUGGACGAUUGGCACAGAAGGCACAAGGCAAAUACCUAUCUCUGUACACCCUGUGCUACUGUGUCAUGUGCUGCUCCAGGCAACUCCAAUGGAUUGGCCACCCUGGCCAAUGUGCCCUCCAAACACCAGCACUGAGUAGAAAGAGGCUCUGAUUCAUGAAAUGUGAAUUUAUGACAGUUGCCACUCUUAAAAAAAAAACAAACAGACAGAACUUGAGCAAUACAUGACUGAUGCAUUCUCAGCCUGCUUCCUGUGUUCCAUCUGUCUUUCUGCCAGUGCAUUCACCCUCCAGGUUCUAGUAUGUUAGGUUUAUGUUCCCCUGCUUUCUACAAUCCUGUUCAAAGAGUUGCUGACUUAACCACAGAGAGGAUUCCAGAACAUGAGACACAGAAUAAACUUGAGCAAUCAUAGUCCAUCCACUUCAUUUUCUCAUCAAAAACCAAAGGUCCAGUGAAGCUCUGGAACUCAACGCUGUAAAGGAGCGAAGGAGCUUCUAUACAGAGCCUGGAUGCCUGUCUCCUUAUCCUACUUCAGUGGACUUGACUGCAAUCCGGACUAUGCUGUUUUCUAAGCAUUUAAAAUAAAA